This is a non-coding RNA of Ameiurus melas (black bullhead), 73 nucleotides long. Lineage: Eukaryota; Metazoa; Chordata; Actinopteri; Siluriformes; Ictaluridae. The record is from the annotation of a GenBank genome assembly.
UGCACGGUGGAUUAGUGGUUAUCGUGUGUGCCUUACACCUCCAGGUUUGGGGGUUCGAUUCCCGCCAUUGCUC